Molecule: long non-coding RNA, 237 nt
Filed under: Capra hircus (goat)
Lineage: Eukaryota; Metazoa; Chordata; Mammalia; Artiodactyla; Bovidae
Description: lncRNA (ENSCHIG00000004825.1)
Source: RNAcentral
UCAAGAUGAUCUUUCAUUUUGCCUCCCGCAUCUUACACAGUGUCUCUCCAUGGAAGAAUAUAAUCUGAGCCCUGUUCUGAAAAGAAUCCAAGCAAUUCAGUGAGUGAAUUCACGAGUGAGAAUAUUUCUGAAAAUCAACAAACUGUACCUGGAGAAAAAUCACACAUCAAGUGUAUGCUAACAAUGGAAAUCAUGCUGAGCUUGACAGUUCCCCUCUCAGAGAUGUGCACAUCCUAA